This 107-nucleotide ribosomal RNA is filed under the name Actinomycetota bacterium. RNAcentral's name for it is "partial 16S ribosomal RNA". It matches the Rfam family "Bacterial small subunit ribosomal RNA", at positions 1429 to 1533 of the family's 1533-position model. The record is from RNAcentral. Lineage: Bacteria; Bacillati; Actinomycetota.
AGUGGCCCAACCCGGAAGGGGGGGAGCUGUCGAAGGUGGGAUCGGCGAUUGGGACGAAGUCGUAACAAGGUAGCCGUACCGGAAGGUGCGGCUGGAUCACCUCCUUU